Long non-coding RNA from Bubalus bubalis (water buffalo), 637 nucleotides. RefSeq lists it as uncharacterized. The transcript is spliced from 4 exons. The record is from RefSeq and is a predicted model, not a curated record. NCBI's taxonomy places the organism in Eukaryota, Metazoa, Chordata, Mammalia, Artiodactyla, Bovidae.
ACAGACUGGUGAUUCUCAAGAUCCUUUUCCUCAAUAGCCUCCUUGGCCAUGCCUCUCUGGCCUCGGAUUCUCAUUCUCUCUGCGCCUCUCAGCCAGGUUUCAAAUGAAUGAUGUAACGCUGAAGAUUUAUAGAGUGUCCACAAUGUUCCUGCUCUGGCUUCUGCCCUCUGCUUCACUGCUCUCUCCUCCUGGACAGAACUUGCUGACCUUCUUCUUUCAGAGGAUCUAGUUCCUGGACCAGGGGUUGAACAUGUGCCAGCUUCCCUCUUCCCUCUGUGGACUCUAGUAUCUCUGGACCUCAGCGUACAGACACGAACUCACAUAUCUAUUAACGGAGAGACUUCAUGUACAGGUGCUGUGAAGGUGUCCAAGUCCUGAAAUGUGCUUCCUUUUUUAAAUGAUAGUCAGAGGAGCCAGCGAUAUUUUAAAAAUAUUCUUAUCUGGUGACAAGUUUUCAGUAAAGUUUCAGUAAAUUGCACUGGACCCAAAUUUGGGAAUCACGAAUCAAAUCCAACCCGUUCCUCCCGGGGGUGGGGAAACUGAAGCCUAACAAGCUCAAGGGACCCAUCCAAGAUCAGAUAGCAGGUUGUGGUAUGUGGGAUCUUCCAUCUUAGCUGUGGCGUUGAGGGAUGGUGUU